Molecule: long non-coding RNA, 1684 nt
Filed under: Carica papaya (papaya)
Lineage: Eukaryota; Viridiplantae; Streptophyta; Magnoliopsida; Brassicales; Caricaceae
Description: long non-coding RNA (CPAP_LNC005464)
Source: RNAcentral
UUUUUUUUCUUCAUUUUUUUCUCUCUUUUCUUCCCCGCGACUGCUUUCUCUCACCUUUGCCGUGAACCAUGGCCAUCUCAUCGCUUCCUCUCUGGUUGCACGUAAAUCCUUCCUCUGCCACAUACAUGAACUUCUUCUCCGACAAGUCCACUACACGCGGAGCCUUUCGGUUCAGUUCACCACACUCUCUUCUCUUUCUUAUUCUCUUUUUUCUUCUUCUUCUUUCUUCAUUUCUUCUUCUUUUUCUUCAAUUUUCCUUUCUUCUUCUUCUUUUGCUUCUUCUUUUUGUUUCCCUUUUUUCUUCUUCUUCUUUCUCUUUCUACCAAACCACAUCUCUUCUGUCUUUCUCUCACUUUUUCUCCUUUUUUUCUCUCUUUAACCAAUAACGAUGACUCUCCUCUUUAUUUCUCUUUUGGUUACGAUGUUGUGUAAUACCACGCAACCCAUCUCUCUCGGUUGUCGGUGGCGCUCGACCCUCUCUCUCCUCUCUCAGUCGCGUCUUUCUCUCCUCACUCUUUCUUUUAUUUUUUUUUUUCUUUUCUUUCUUUCUUUUUCUGCUAUUUAAUUACAUAUAUACAUACACAUAUAUAUAUAUAUUUAUCGGUUGGGUCCUAUUCUCCUGCUCUUUGUAUCCUUUUUUUUAUUUCUUUUUUUUAUUUAAUUUUAUAUAUGCACACAUAUAUAUACAUGCCAUAUGUCUUCUUUUUCUGCUUUUAGAGUACACACUCUGGGUUCUUCUUUUCUUUGUUUCUUUUUUUUUAUUUUUCUACUAUUUAAUUAUAUAUAUACAUAUACACAUAUAUAUAUAUAUACACCUUUUUUUUUCUUUUGUUCAAUUAUAUAUAUGUAUGCUGCCUGGGUAUUAUUAUCUCCCCCCUUAAAACAAUUUGGUCCUCCAAAUUAAACGUCAAGGGAUUGGAAUAACUCACCUCCCUAGUGCCAUGUUAAUAGUUCUAUUACCAGAACUCAUUCUUUACUGAUUUUGUUUAUGGGUGUGUUUCUUGGUUUCAAAGAUUAGGUUUAAUGGUGUUUUAUUCAAGUUUUCUUGAAAACAGUUAAUAUAGUUAGGGAAGUAUUAUUUCAUCUAAGGCCAUAUCAAUCCUUAAGUUUUAGGUCUCUAAUUUAAUUAAUUGAUUUUUUAACUUCUAAUAAUUAAAGCAUGAUUGGUUGAAAUGGGCUUAGAGUGUUACAGAAUCAAUGAUUAUUUUUGGAGGUGAUUAGGAAUUCUUUUAGUAGUAGAUUCAAUCAUUAGUUUCAUUGUAAGCAUUACUUCUAAUUCUCAUGAGUACACUUCAAAUUUCCAAGAAUUCUAUGGCUACUCUUAAGUAUAAUCUUAAGAUACGAGUCAUUAUUUUGUCACUCAAUCAAUUUACUCUUUUUGGUUUGAAGAGAGAAAUCAUCUAGGUGUGGUGAUUGUGGUUUAUCACGCUUCUACUGCACUACUUUGAUGAGAAACACUUUAGAUUUUUUUGAAUAGUUGGAUGUGAGGAUAGCUCUUAUGGCUAUACCCUCACCUGCAAAAUUUUUACUAGAACUCUUGGAAAUGAGGAUUCUAGGUAGGCAUUAUUUGAUUUUGUUCGUAAAAUGGCAGUUUAUUGGAGCAUAUAUAUAUAUAAUUGAACAAAAGAAAAAAAUGAAGAGAAAGGCCAUAUUGGUACUAGCUGGCACCAAAAGACCCAACUAG